Molecule: long non-coding RNA, 799 nt
Organism: Synchiropus splendidus (mandarinfish)
Lineage: Eukaryota; Metazoa; Chordata; Actinopteri; Syngnathiformes; Callionymidae
Exons: 3
Source: RefSeq, a predicted model, not a curated record
AGGACACAGUGAUAACAGGGUUAUUUAGACACCCACAAGAGGAUGUGGAGCUGCCCCGACUCUGCUGGAGACUCAAACUGACACUGACGAACGGACACUCACCGCUCGCUCCGCUGUCUGUUCGCCAUCCAGUUUCACGCCGAUCGUCAAGAAUGUCUGACAACGAGGAAGUGGUGGAGGAGUACGAAGAGGAGGCGGAGGGUAAGACUUGUUGCCAGAUCCAGGUUUGCCGAGUGAGCACGUUCACAGACACAAGAAACCCAGAUGGUGUCACAUCCACGAGUGAAGACAAUAGAAGCGCAGCAGUCCUGACACCAAAACCAUUGCCACUGAGACCAAAACAACCUGCAGAUGUUUCAUCUGCGCUAGAGGGCGUUGUUUGGCUGGACAAGAGAGAAGCUGCCGCUCUGAGUGGGUCGCAGUGUCAGGACAGUACAUCAGCACACGCGCCUGGCGCGGCGCGUUUGCGUGGGUCUGCAGUGGAAACUGAGUCCCAUUGUUCUCUGCAUGUUGAUACUGACGCUCUGCCACGCUGAGCUCGACUCAAGAAUGUCGGAAGUGGUGCCAACAUUGUUUGAUCGUAUCUCUCAGAUCCCCUCCGGCAUGUCAUUUGCAGCUUCGGUGGCAUGAAACUAACCCUGACUGACUUUCCCACGGUUUGACUUGAUGUGAGUGUGUUCAUGAGCUGUGUGUUCAAACUGGCCCUGUGCUCCUGUGUCCAGAGGAGGUAGGAGAGGAGGAGCAGGAGGAGCAGGAGGAGGUGGAGCAAGAGCAGCAGGAAGGUACUUCCUCCACCAGA